CCUACGGGUGGCAGCAGUGAGGAAUAUUGGUCAAUGGACGAGAGUCUGAACCAGCCAAGUAGCGUGAAGGAUGACUGCCCUAUGGGUUGUAAACUUCUUUUAUAAAGGAAUAAAACGACGCACGCGAGCCUUUUUGCAUGUACUUUAUGAAUAAGGAUCGGCUAACUCCGUGCCAGCAGCCGAGGUAAUACGGAGGAUCCGAGCGUUAUCCGGAUUUAUUGGGUUUAAAGGGAGCGUAGAUGGGAUGUUAAGUCAGUUGUGAAAGUUUGCGGCUCAACAGUGAGAUUGCAAUUGAUACUGGCAGUCUUGAGUGCAGUUGAGGUAGGCGGAAUUCGGGGUGUAGCGGUGAAAUGCUUAGAUAUCACGAAGAACCCCGAUUGCGAAGGCAGCUUACUAAGCUGUAACUGACGUUGAUGCUCGAAAGUGUGGGGAUCAAACAGGAUUAGAUACCCCGGUAGUC
This 460-nucleotide ribosomal RNA is filed under the name uncultured bacterium. RNAcentral's name for it is "partial 16S ribosomal RNA". It matches the Rfam family "Bacterial small subunit ribosomal RNA", at positions 338 to 795 of the family's 1533-position model. The record is from RNAcentral.